Long non-coding RNA from Clupea harengus (Atlantic herring), 1081 nucleotides. Lineage: Eukaryota; Metazoa; Chordata; Actinopteri; Clupeiformes; Clupeidae. The record is from Ensembl.
UUAGCUUCACAUGCAUAACAUCAGGUCAGCUUCUGCCAGUUAAAUGCAUACAAGGUCACCGUCAAAUAUUCUCUCCAAAUGAAUGGAUACUGUCGCUGUUAGUUGUAAUUUGAGAUGCACAAACAGGACCCCAGUCAUCUCUAUUUGAGCAGGUGUGCUGUGUGCUUUGGGAACAUCCCAUUGGGUUGAAGUUAAAGAAUGGGGCUGGUCAUCUCUAUUUGAGCAGGUGAUAUCUAUUUGAGCAGGUGUGCUAUGUGCUUUGGGAACAUCCCAUUGGGUUGAAGUUAAAGCAUGGGGCUGGUCAUCUCUAUUUGAGCAGGUGUGCUAUGUGCUUUGGGAACAUCCCAUUGGGUUGAAGUUAAAGCAUGGGGCUGACCUGUGGGAUUCCCAACCAAUCAUCAGCCAGCUGCAUGGCCUCAGUAGCAUUAUCCACAGGUUUCCCUGUACCCCAUGUCUCCCAGUCAGGACACAGGCCUGUAGUGAACACAAACGCCACAUCAAUCAACCAUAGCACCACAUACAUUAUCUUCUGAGAUAUAAAGUGAGCUUUGUACAACAGCUAUUUAUAGCUUAUUAUUAUUUAUAGAUUAUAUUAGAUCUGCUCUGAAAAUAACUUUUCCAUAAAACAGAAAGAACAAAGAGAGCACAGAUGACAUGUACAUGUUGACUUGAUGUGUUUGUGGAUCUACUCACCAGGGGCACAACUAUCAACCAGGGCACCCAGGGCUUUGCCGUCGCGCCAGUCCCGACUGAAGUUGCCCAGUGGCAGGUCUGGCACUUUGUUCUGGAUCCAUCCCAGCAGCCGCUGCUUCGGUGUCUUUUUCUCGGCCUCAUCGUCAGCCUCGUCCUCCCACACAGGCAUAGAAAUGGAGUAAUGCAGGAUGAGCGUCCACACCAUCCCAAGGAUAAGCUUAAGGUUUCCAUCUACAAUUGCCUUACUAUCUGCAGGAGAACAAGCAGAAAGGGGGCGGGGGGGGGUCAGUCUCCUCUAAGUGAAAACAAAAGGGGUUGAAGGACUAGAUCACUGAAGCAUACAUAUGUACAAGGGAGAUCUAGAACAAAGGCCCACUUGCCUGGCCUG